This 97-nucleotide signal recognition particle RNA is filed under the name Lentisphaeria bacterium. RNAcentral's name for it is "signal recognition particle sRNA small type". It matches the Rfam family "Bacterial small signal recognition particle RNA". Rfam says of the family: The signal recognition particle (SRP) is a universally conserved ribonucleoprotein involved in the co-translational targeting of proteins to membranes. The record is from RNAcentral. Lineage: Bacteria; Pseudomonadati; Lentisphaerota; Lentisphaeria.
CGCCGGACCCUUUGUGCUGGAAUCGCGUGAACCGAGUCAGGUUGGGAACAAAGCAGCUCUAAGCGUGGAGACCAGGUGCGGAGGUGCUCUGUCGUCC